CCUACGGGUGGCAGCAGUGAGGAAUAUUGGUCAAUGGACGAGAGUCUGAACCAGCCAAGUCGCGUGAAGGAUGACUGCCCUAUGGGUUGUAAACUUCUUUUAUAUGGGAAUAAAAUGUUCCACGUGUGGGAUUUUGUAUGUACCAUAUUAAUAAGGAUCGGCUAACUCCGUGCCAGCAGCCGCGGUAAUACGGAGGAUCCGAGCGUUAGCCGGAUUUAUUGGGUUUAAAGGGAGCGUAGGUGGAUUGUUAAGUCAGUUGUGAAAGUUUGCGGCUCAACCGUAAAAUUGCAGUUGAAACUGGCAGUCUUGAGUACAGUAGAGGUGGGCGGAAUUCGUGGUGUAGCGGUGAAAUGCUUAGAUAUCACGAAGAACUCCGAUUGCGAAGGCAGUUCACUGGACUGCAACUGACACUGAGGCUCGAAAGUGUGGGUAUCAAACAGGAGUAGAUACCCCUGUAGUC
RNAcentral lists this ribosomal RNA (460 nucleotides) under uncultured bacterium. RNAcentral's name for it is "partial 16S ribosomal RNA". It matches the Rfam family "Bacterial small subunit ribosomal RNA", at positions 338 to 795 of the family's 1533-position model. The record is from RNAcentral.